This 253-nucleotide ribosomal RNA is filed under the name uncultured bacterium. RNAcentral describes it as "partial 16S ribosomal RNA". It matches the Rfam family "Bacterial small subunit ribosomal RNA", at positions 524 to 776 of the family's 1533-position model. The record is from RNAcentral.
UACGGAGGGUGCAAGCGUUAAUCGGAAUUAUUGGGCGUAAAGGGUGCGUAGGUUGUUAGAUAAGUUAGCUGUAAAAUUCCUGGGCUUAACCUGGGGAAGUCAUCUAAGACUGUUUGACUGGAGUACGGGAGAGGGUAGAGGAAUUUCCGGUGUAGCGGUGAAAUGCGUAGAGAUCGGAAGGAACACCGGUUGCGAAGGCGUCUACCUGGCCUGAUACUGACACUGAGGCACGAAAGCGUGGGGAGCAAACAGG